Molecule: non-coding RNA, 3798 nt
Organism: Paramuricea clavata
Lineage: Eukaryota; Metazoa; Cnidaria; Anthozoa; Malacalcyonacea; Plexauridae
Source: the annotation of a GenBank genome assembly
AAAUCCCAAAGCACUGCUUGGGUUCUGUUUGGGUCUCAUAAUCCGAUGUUAAAUAGCCUGAUUUCUUCGGUUGAACUUCGGAAAUUAUAUUGCGCAAUUUUUUCAACGUCGGAAUACGAUUGAGGCUCGAAUCUGAAUCGAUGAUGUUCCGAUGAUGUUCCGAGUGUGAUUGCGCGGUCACAUAGUGCCGACGUGGCGAGCCGAGAAGAAAGGCACAUUCAAAAGAGAUUUUGUGUUCACAUUGUCUCUGCUGGUUGUCUCGCGUUUUUCUCCUAAAAUGAAUAUAUUCCGACUUGCUGGAGACUUGUCCCAUCUUCUAGCAAUACUAUUGCUGCUGUGGAAAAUAUGGAAGACUCGCUCUUGCGCUGGUAAGCUCUUAUAUUCUUACAUUUUGUUUUAUUAUAUUGUCGAAUGUGUACUGUUCUUAUUGGUCUAUAAAACACGAAGGUCAAUAUAUGACUGUUUGAUCUCUCGUAUAGCUAAACGAUAGCCUCAACUAUGAUUCCACUUUAUCGAUCUUUCUAAUUUAUAUCAUAUUAUGUUGUAUUUCCUUGUAUAAUUUUGAAAACAAAUUGUUAUAACAUACACAGAUUCUAUAUAUUGUAAAUUGUAUUAGCUACAUUGCAAUUUGCAGUUGAUCUUUUACGAUAAAUUUGGCUGUGAUAUUCUUAGUAAUAUUUGAGAUUGCAGAGUGUUGGUUUAUUUAUGGUUAGAAUUCAGAUUUUCGUAAAUUUUGGAGAUGAAGUUUUGUUAUUUUACUGGCAUAUUAUGACACGUGGAAUUUUGCCCGUCAGCGUUAAAUUACCCUGGAAACGAGUCACUAAAUAGAGGGGUAUUGUUUCAAGGCCUCAAAUCUCAGUUGUAGAUUAUUGCCUGCAGUUUUGCCCUGGGUUUUUUGUGAGCCUGCCAUGGAAAAUCAUGCAAAAUCAUGCAAAAUCAAUCUUACAAUGCAUAAUCAAUCAUGUAUAAAUUGGACAUGCAAGUUCUGUAUAACUUCACUUUAGGAUAGCCCACAUAAAUUUAAGAACAUGUACAUUGCAUGCAUAAGAUUAAGCCUGCUACUGUAUGUUGAGGUGUUGCUUAGGGUUCAGGGGUGGAAAAAAUUGGCAAGCAUGCGAGCAGCUGCAGGAAAUUUGUUUGAAUGAAGAUUUGCUAUUGAAAAUUUGAAAGAAACCUUAACACCCAUGGGUACAACAAAAUAUGGUUGACAGACAUUAUUCCUUGAAUUUAAAACCAUGGUCAGCUAGAAUACUAUAUGUUUAGCACAUGCAGAUUUAGCACAAAAAUGCUCCAUUGGUCUGCAUAAAAUUUUUGUCUCCAGGUUGUGCUCCCAGGAAGAAAUACUUUUUCCUGGCUCUGAGAUGGCUGAUCAGUCGAUAUGCUUGAGUUGUGCUUGUGAUAAGGGAUGAUGAGCCUGUCCUGACUUUACUAAUUUCAAUCCUUGUAACAUUUUCCAGGUAUUUCCGGCAAGAGUCAAGUUCUUUUUGCACUGGUAUUCACCACACGAUACCUUGAUCUUUUUAUGUCGUAUAUAUCACUUUAUAAUUCUGUUAUGAAAUGUAUAUUCAUUGCGUGCUCAUAUGCAACUGUCUAUCUGAUCUUUGUGAAAUUUAAAGCAACGUACGAUUCAAAUCACGACACAUUCCGAAUGGAGUUCAUUGUUGUCCCCGUUGCUGGUCUUGCUGUUCUUGUUAACCAUAGUUUGACGCUUGUUGAGGUAAUAAGAGACAAAACUAAAUUUAUUUAUACUGGAUUGAUCUGUCAGUUAUAUCUGGUAGUAUUUUUACUCCUCCAGUGACUGAGGUGAAAUUAUAAUCAAACAACUGCAUGAAACAAGGACACAUAACAAUUGGGUUGAACACAAGUAUUUUACAGGGACCUGUUGCUAAAUUUAUUAAUUAAAUUAACUAAUAUUCCCAAACUUCCCAAAGGUUUUGUGGACGUUUUCCAUCUACCUUGAGUCGCUGGCCAUUCUACCGCAGCUGUUCAUGAUCUCAAAGACAGGAGAGGCAGAGACAAUUACAAGUCAUUAUCUGUUCGCCCUUGGUUCUUACCGAGCUCUGUACUUAGCCAAUUGGAUUCUGCGCUAUGCUUCCGAAGGGUUCUAUGACCUUAUUGCUGUCGUCGCAGGAUGUGUGCAGACUGUUCUCUACUGUGAUUUCUUCUAUCUGUAUAUUACUAAAGGUAGGUUAGGAAUUGGUUGGUGAUAAUGAUGAUGUUGAUGAUAAUGGUGAUGGUGGUGGUUAUCUUGAUGAUGAUAAUGAUGGUUGUGAUGAUAGUUGUGAUGGUAGUUAGUGGUGAUGAUGAUGGUGAUGAUGAUGAUGAUGGUGGUGAUGAUGGUGGUGGUGGUGAUAAUGAUGAUGAUGGUGGUGGUGGUGAUAAUGAUGAUGAUGGUGGUGAUAAUGAUGAUGAUGGUGGUGAUAAUGAUGAUGAUGGUGGUGAUAAUGAUGAUGGUGAUGAUGGUGGUGGUGAUGGUGGUGAUAAUGAUGAUGAUGGUGGUGAUAAUGAUGAUGGUGAUGAUGAUGAUGGUGGUGAUGAUGAUGGUGAUGGUGGUGAUAAUGAUGAUGAUGGUAGUGAUGAUGGUGGUGAUGAUGGUAAUGAUGAUAGUAAUGAUGAUGGUGGUGGUGAUGAUGGUGGUGAUGAUGAUGGUAAUGAUGAUGAUGGUCAUGAUGAUGAUGAUGAUGACAAUCUAGUAAAACCAGUUUUAUUUCUUUUUUAGUUUUGAAAGGAAAGUCAUUGAAACUACCAGCAUAAGAAAGUGUCUGGCUGCUAUAAAGACUUGAAAACAAACUAUUACACUCUAUGAAUUGUACUGUAUGUUAAUAAUGCUAACAUAACAAUCUAAAAUGAAUUUAUUGCUCACAGUUUGGGCAUUUGCAUACAUCCUCAUUUCUUUGGUCUUUGUUAAAAUAAUUGUUAAAGUAAGUAACAUUGAUGUAUGCAGGUGUGAAACAGUUUGCACAUUUUACCUGCAUAGCUGGGUCAGCGGCGCACAUUCAACAAAUUGCUUGGGGGACAAUCUAGGAGCUACUUUCUUAUUGUGCAACAGACAUUUGUGGGUACACAAUAGCACAAAAAUAUGGAAAUGCAUGGGUUGUAAGUUCUCAGGUUAUGUUAAUAUUGAAUUUUUACAUAUUGCCAACAUACUUGUCAAUCCAAAUUUACUGAUAGGAUUUGAAUAACUCUUAUCGCAGAAAAUUGGAACUGACUUUUGGCACACUCUUAAAGAAAACUGGGACUGAUGUUUUGUGACCCCCCCCCCCCUCAAAAUGUACACUUUUGAGCUGGGUUUCACUAAGAAAUAUCUUGGAGCAGAUGGUGGCAACUGGCAGUUACCAACCAGAGUGAGAAAAUAAUAUUAAAUUUACUUCAAAAUAACAAAGGGAAAAGACAUUAAUAAGUUAAAUUCUUAAAAUUGAAGUUGCCUGCCAUCUGCUGCCCUUAUUGCUUAUUGAAACCAACCAUGACGCUUGCUGACAUACUGUAGUAAAGUUUUUUUAUCUUUCAAGAUAUAUAGUAAAUAAAGAAUUUAGAAUCUGAUUUCAGGAUUACUUUAAAAUAAAGAAAUUUAAGAGAUUUUGUAUCACCAUUAAUACCAUACGUGUUAAAUAAGUUAUAGCUACGAGAUUUGUCGCCAUAGUAUUGCUGCAUAAUAGAGAGCUGUUUCAAAUGUUGAGUUCUUAUUAAUACGGUUAUUACAAAUUUUUAUUUCUGCAUUGUGUGUUAUGACUUUCUUAAAGUAUUAAUAAUUCAUGGUAAUGUUACUAGUAUUGAUACCACAAUAAUAAACAUCCAUAU